This 586-nucleotide ribosomal RNA is filed under the name Salmonella enterica subsp. enterica serovar Infantis. RNAcentral describes it as "bacterial SSU rRNA". It matches the Rfam family "Bacterial small subunit ribosomal RNA", at positions 1 to 576 of the family's 1533-position model. RNAcentral also lists the same sequence under 1 other name. Lineage: Bacteria; Pseudomonadati; Pseudomonadota; Gammaproteobacteria; Enterobacterales; Enterobacteriaceae. The record is from RNAcentral.
AAAUUGAAGAGUUUGAUCAUGGCUCAGAUUGAACGCUGGCGGCAGGCCUAACACAUGCAAGUCGAACGGUAACAGGAAGCAGCUUGCUGCUUCGCUGACGAGUGGCGGACGGGUGAGUAAUGUCUGGGAAACUGCCUGAUGGAGGGGGAUAACUACUGGAAACGGUGGCUAAUACCGCAUAACGUCGCAAGACCAAAGAGGGGGACCUUCGGGCCUCUUGCCAUCAGAUGUGCCCAGAUGGGAUUAGCUUGUUGGUGAGGUAACGGCUCACCAAGGCGACGAUCCCUAGCUGGUCUGAGAGGAUGACCAGCCACACUGGAACUGAGACACGGUCCAGACUCCUACGGGAGGCAGCAGUGGGGAAUAUUGCACAAUGGGCGCAAGCCUGAUGCAGCCAUGCCGCGUGUAUGAAGAAGGCCUUCGGGUUGUAAAGUACUUUCAGCGGGGAGGAAGGUGUUGCGGUUAAUAACCGCAGCAAUUGACGUUACCCGCAGAAGAAGCACCGGCUAACUCCGUGCCAGCAGCCGCGGUAAUACGGAGGGUGCAAGCGUUAAUCGGAAUUACUGGGCGUAAAGCGCACGCAGGC